UACGUAGGUGGCAAGCGUUGUCCGGAUUUACUGGGUGUAAAGGGCGUGCAGCCGGGCUGACAAGUCAGAUGUGAAAUCCCGCGGCUCAACCGCGGAACUGCAUUUGAAACUGUCAGUCUUGAGUACCGGAGAGGUCAUCGGAAUUCCUUGUGUAGCGGUGAAAUGCGUAGAUAUAAGGAAGAACACCAGUGGCGAAGGCGGAUGACUGGACGGCAACUGACGGUGAGGCGCGAAAGCGUGGGAAGCAAACAGG
This 253-nucleotide ribosomal RNA is filed under the name uncultured bacterium. RNAcentral's name for it is "partial 16S ribosomal RNA". It matches the Rfam family "Bacterial small subunit ribosomal RNA", at positions 524 to 776 of the family's 1533-position model. The record is from RNAcentral.